Molecule: unclassified non-coding RNA, 378 nt
Filed under: plant metagenome
Description: partial contains 5.8S ribosomal RNA, internal transcribed spacer 2, and large subunit ribosomal RNA
Rfam family: 5.8S ribosomal RNA (bases 1-105)
Source: RNAcentral
GAAAUGCGAUAUGUAAUGUGAAUUGCAGAAUUCAGUGAAUCAUCGAAUCUUUGAACGCACCUUGCGCUCCUUGGUAUUCCUUGGAGCAUGCCUGUUUGAGUAUCAUGAAAUCUUCAAAGUAAAUCUUUUGUUAACUCAAUUGGCUUCUACUUUGGUAUUGGAGGUCUUUGCAGCUUCACACCUGCUCCUCUUUGUUCAUUAGCUGGAUCUCAGUGUUAUGCUUGGUUCCACUCGGCGUGAUAAGUUAUCUAUCGCUGAGGACACUGUAAAAGGUGGCCAAGGUAAAUGCAGAUGAACCGCUUCUAAUAGUCCAUUGACUUGGACAAUACUUUUAUGAUCUGAUCUCAAAUCAGGUAGGACUACCCGCUGAACUUAAGC